Small nuclear RNA from Bombyx mandarina (wild silkworm), 160 nucleotides. The record is from RefSeq and is a predicted model, not a curated record. NCBI's taxonomy places the organism in Eukaryota, Metazoa, Arthropoda, Insecta, Lepidoptera, Bombycidae.
AUACGUACAUGGCGUAGGAGAUACCGUGAUCAUGCAGGCGGUUCCCCCAGGGCGAGGCUGCUCCAUUGUACUGCAGAGAGGUUGAUCCUUACGAUUAUUCCCAAGAAAGAAAUCAUAAUAACAAUUUUUUUUUUAUUGCCCUUGUAAGCAGAUGAGCAUA